This 1086-nucleotide long non-coding RNA is filed under the name Homo sapiens (human). Its description in RNAcentral is "HSALNT0296935". The record is from RNAcentral. Lineage: Eukaryota; Metazoa; Chordata; Mammalia; Primates; Hominidae.
UGGCCAAUGGAUUCCCAGGAAACCACCCAGGGUUCCCCGUUGGCUUCCCUUCCAUCUAAAGGCCUCCCCCAAGUUUCGGGCCAAAAAGCUGAAAUAAAGAACGAAGUCAAUAAUAAUAUGAAGUGUAUGAGAAAUAGCUGGAAAAUUCAUCAUCCAUGACUUGAAGAAAUUGACGUUUUACAAGUUAUAUUUUCGGUGAAGAGGCACUUUCAAGAUCCUUCUCUGAGACCUGCACCAAUAAGACUAUACCAAUGUUCAGUUGAAACAUCAGACACUGUUCUGGUUAUGAUGGACACCACAGUGAAAGAGACCUGGUCCCUGCCUUGAGGAAACCCAACUGCUGGUAGAGAGCUCAGAGUAAUGAUUAGGAUGCAAUAUGAGGGAUGCAGUAAUUGGGAUCUACUUCUGGGAACCGUCACAGCCUGAGAAAGAUGGCAUGCCCUGAAUGGAAUUCACAGAGAAUUAUUUUAAGUCAUGCUACUGGCCCCGCCCAGUUAUGUAACAACUUGCAUUUCCUCAAUUCUCUGGAAUGUGGCCAGUCAGGAACUUCCACAUUUGGUUUUUUUUUUUUCCCCCAUUUGUGGGUAAGAAAGUAAAAGAGGCAGGAAAACUGAAUUGAGAAAGAAGAAAGAAUAGGGGAAGAGAGAAAGAAAAAAGAAAACCAUGAAGCCUGGAAGAGGAGAAAGAAGAGAUAGAUGAGCAAAGAAGCACAUUGCCUGGUGGUAGUAAUAGUUGUCAGACACCCAUCUAUUAUAAUCUGUUUUCCAUGGGAGAUUUUAAGAAGAGGCUAGAUCCCCAGUCUGUCUUAAAAUCAAGAAAAGGGACUCUGUUGCCUCUAAAGUAUACUUCCAGACUCAGCAAUCUCUAAAUUCUGAGUGGGGCAUCCCUAGUUUUGCUGCCUAAAAUCUAUGACAGUUGGAAAUGAUUCCAUUUAAGAUCCAGUUCAAGAAGCUAUACACCCUGAGGAACUUUAUAUUGCCAUUUAGAGGACCGAUAUUCUCCAGAUUGCUUGAGCCCAGGAGUUUGAGACCAGCCUGGGCAACAUGGCAAAACUCCAUCUCUACCAAAAAAAAAAAAAAAACAAAA